Molecule: small nuclear RNA, 60 nt
Filed under: Salvator merianae (Argentine black and white tegu)
Lineage: Eukaryota; Metazoa; Chordata; Lepidosauria; Squamata; Teiidae
Source: RNAcentral
GUGCUCACUUUGGCAGUGCGUAUACUGAAAUUGGAACAGUACAGAGAAGAUUAGCAUCGC